CCUACGGGAGGCAGCAGUGAGGAAUAUUGGUCAAUGGACGCAAGCCUGAACCAGCCAAGUAGCGUGAAGGAUGACGGCCCUACGGGUUGUAAACUUCUUUUAUAUGGGAAUAAAGUGAGGCACGUGUGCCUUGUUGUGUGUGCUUUAUGAAUAAGAAUCGGCUAACUCCGUGCCAGCAGCCGCGGUAAUACGGAGGAUCCGAGCGUUAUCCGGAUUUAUUGGGUUUAAAGGGAGCGUAGGCGGGGUGUUAAGUGAGUUGUGAAAGUUUGCGGCUCAACCGUAAAAUUGCAAUUGAUACUGGGUGCCUUGAGUGCAGCUGAGGUAGGCGGAAUUCGUGGUGUAGCGGUGAAAUGCUUAGAUAUCACGAAGAACUCCGAUUGCGAAGGCAGCUUACUGAACUGCCACUGACGCUGAUGCUCGAAAGUGUGGGUAUCAAACAGGAUUAGAUACCCGGGUAGUC
RNAcentral lists this ribosomal RNA (460 nucleotides) under uncultured bacterium. RNAcentral describes it as "partial 16S ribosomal RNA". It matches the Rfam family "Bacterial small subunit ribosomal RNA", at positions 338 to 795 of the family's 1533-position model. The record is from RNAcentral.